ACAGUGGAGGUCCUAACCCACCGCCGUUGAAAAGUUGGGGGAUGAGGUAGGUUUAGGGGUGAAAAGCCAAUCGAAACCGGGAGAUAGCUCGUUCUCCGAAAUGCAUCUAGGUGCAGCCUUGCGUGUUUAAUGAUGGGGUAGAGCACUGACUGAACUAGGGGGCAUAUAGCUUACUGAAUUCAAUCAAACUCCGAAACCAUUAUUCAAGAGCGCAGGAGUGAGACCAUGGGAGUUAACUUCCAUCGUCGAAAGGGAAACAACCCAGACCACCAGCUAAGGUCCCAAAUCAUAUCUAAGUGGGAAAGGAGGUGGAGAUUCUUAAACAACUAGGAGGUUGGCUUAGAAGCAGCCAUUCCUUGAAAGAGUGCGUAAUAGCUCACUAGUCGAGAGUCUCUGCGCCGACAAUGUAACGGGCUAAGAUAUGAACCGAAGCUGUGGAUGUCGUAAGACAUGGUAGGAGAGCGUUCUGUAGGCCGUCGAAGGAGGACUGAAAGGAACUCUGGAGGUAUCAGAAGUGAGAAUGCAGGAAUAAGUAGCGAGAAGGGGAGUGAGAAUCUCCCCGCUGGAAGACCAAGGUUUUCAGGGUAAAGCUUGUCUUCCCUGAGUAAGCCGGGACCUAAGCCCAGGCUAGAAUGCGUAGGCGAAUGGAAAACAGAUGAAUAUUUCUGUGCCAGUUCUACUUUGUGAAGGAGGGACGCAGAAGGGUAUGCGCGCAGACGAACGGAAGAGUCUGUAGAAGCAUGUAGAGUGACUUGGUAGGCAAAUCCGCCAGGUUAGACUUAAGGUGUGACAUAUACUCGCAAGAGGAAUGCGCAAAUCCCACGCUGCCGAGAAAAGCUUCUAGCGGUAAAGUAGAGACUGCCCGUACUGGAAACCGACACAGGUGGUCAGGAUGAGAAAUCUAAAGCGGACAGGCUAACUCUCGUUAAGGAACUCUGCAAAAUGGCCCCGUAACUUCGGAGAAGGGGUGCCUUUAGGCGUGAGUAUACAAGCGAUACAAAGCGCUUUGAGGUCGCAGUGAAGAGGCUCAAGCAACUGUUUAAACAAAAACACAGGUCUAUGCGAAGCUGUAAGGCGAAGUAUAUGGGCUGACACCUGCCCAGUGCCGGAAGGUUAAGAGGAGGAGUGAGAGCUCCGAAUUGAAGCCCCGGUGAACGGCGGCCGUAACUAUAACGGUCCUAAGGUAGCGAAAUUCCUUGUCGGGUAAGUUCCGACCUGCACGAAUGGUGUAAUGAUUUGAGCGCUGUCUUGACGGGAGGCCUGGUGAAAUUGUAUUACCGUGAAGAUACCGGUUACCUACAGUAGGACGGAAAGACCCAUGGAGCUUUACUGUAGCUUGGUAUUGGGUUUUGGCAUGGCAUGUAUAGGAUAGUUGGGAGACUGGGAAGGUAUGGCGCUAGCUGUACCGGAGUCAUCGGUGGAAUACCAACCAUUCCCUGCUGAAAUUCUAAUCUGUACUUUGGAGGUACGGAGACAGUGCUAGGUGGGCAGUUUGACUGGGGCGGUCGCCUCCGAAGAGUAACGGAGGCGUUCAAGGUUCUCUCAGGUUGGAUGGAAAUCAACCGCAGAGUGCAAUGGCAAAAGAGAGCUUGACUGCAAGACUGACGGGUCGAGCAGAUGCGAAAGCAGGACAUAGUGAUCCGGCGAUUCCGUAUGGAAGGGUCGUCGCUCAACGGAUAAAAGCUACCCUGGGGAUAACAGGCUGAUCCUACCCGAGAGUCCAUAUCGACGGUAGGGUUUGGCACCUCGAUGUCGGCUCAUCGCAUCCUGGGCUGGAGAAGGUCCCAAGGGUUGGGCUGUUCGCCCAUUAAGCGGUACGUGAGCUGGGUUCAGAACGUCGUGAGACAGUUCGGUCCCUAUCCACUGUAGGCGCAAGAAUAUUGAGAAGAUCUGUCCUUAGUACGAGAGGACCGGGAUGGACAAACCUCUGAUGUACCAGUUGUCACGCCAGUGGCAUAGCUGGGUAGUCACGUUUGGCAUAGAUAACCGCUGAAAGCAUCUAAGCGGGAAACUAGCUUCAAGAUAAGUAUUCUAAGAGGAAGCUUCGAGAACAGGAGCUAGAUAGGUUGGGGGUGUACGCGCAGUAAUGUGUUUAGCUGACCAAUACUAAUCGAACGAAAUUUAAUCAG
Molecule: ribosomal RNA, 2129 nt
Filed under: Fusobacterium necrophorum subsp. necrophorum
Lineage: Bacteria; Fusobacteriati; Fusobacteriota; Fusobacteriia; Fusobacteriales; Fusobacteriaceae
Description: bacterial LSU rRNA
Rfam family: Bacterial large subunit ribosomal RNA
Source: RNAcentral